GAUGAACGCUGGCGGCGUGCUUAACACAUGCAAGUCGAACGAAGCACUUUAUUUGAUUUCCUUCGGGACUGAUUAUUUUGUGACUGAGUGGCGGACGGGUGAGUAACGCGUGGGUAACCUGCCUUGUACAGGGGGAUAACAGUUGGAAACGGCUGCUAAUACCGCAUAAGCGCACAGCAUCGCAUGAUGCAGUGUGAAAAACUCCGGUGGUAUAAGAUGGACCCGCGUUGGAUUAGCUAGUUGGUGAGGUAACGGCCCACCAAGGCGACGAUCCAUAGCCGAGCUGAGAGGGUGACCGGCCACAUUGGGACUGAGACACGGCCCAAACUCCUACGGGAGGGAGCAGUGGGGAAUAUAGCACAAUGGGCGAAAGCCUGACGCAGCGACGCCGCGUGAGCGAAGAAGUAUGUCGGUAUGUAAAGCUCUAUCAGCAGGGAAGAUAAUGACGGUACCUGACUAAGAAGCACCGGCUAAAUACGUG
RNAcentral lists this ribosomal RNA (481 nucleotides) under uncultured bacterium. RNAcentral describes it as "partial 16S ribosomal RNA". It matches the Rfam family "Bacterial small subunit ribosomal RNA", at positions 28 to 507 of the family's 1533-position model. The record is from RNAcentral.